This 449-nucleotide ribosomal RNA is filed under the name uncultured bacterium. RNAcentral's name for it is "partial 16S ribosomal RNA". It matches the Rfam family "Bacterial small subunit ribosomal RNA", at positions 29 to 523 of the family's 1533-position model. The record is from RNAcentral.
AACGAACGCUGGCGGCAGGCUUAACACAUGCAAAUCGAACGAGAUCUUCGGAUCUAGUGGCAGACGGGUGAGGAACACGUGGGAACAUCCCUUUCAGUUCGGAAUAACGUUGGGAAACUAACGCUAAUACCGGAUACGUCCUUCGGGAGAAAGAUUUAUCGCUGAAAGAUUGGCCCGCGUCUGAUUAGCUAGUUGGUGAGGUAAUGGCUCACCAAGGCUACGAUCAGUAGCUGAUCUGAGAGGAUGAUCAGCCACAUUGGGACUGAGACACGGCCCAAACGCGUACGGGAGGCAGCAGUGGGGAAUAUUGGACAAUGGGCGCAAGCCUGAUCCAGCCAUGCCGCGUGAGUGAUGACGGCCUUCGGGUUGUAAAGCUCUUUUGUCCGGGAAGAUAAUGACUGUACCGGAAGAAUAAGCCCCGGCAAACUUCGUGCCAGCAGCCGCCGUAA